AGUGAACGCUGGCGGUAGGCCUAACACAUGCAAGUCGAACGGCAGCACAGUAAGAGCUUGCUCUUACGGGUGGCGAGUGGCGGACGGGUGAGGAAUACAUCGGAAUCUACUUUUUCUUGGGGGAUAACGUAGGGAAACUUACGCUAAUACCGCAUACGACCUACGGGUGAAAGCAGGGGAUCUUCGGACCUUGCGCGAUUGAAUGAGCCGAUGUCGGAUUAGCUAGUUGGCGGGGUAAAGGCCCACCAAGGCGACGAUCCGUAGCUGGUCCGAGAGGGUGAUCCGCCACACUGGCACUGAGACACGGUCCAGACUCUUACGGGAGGCAGCAGUGGGGAAUAUUGGACAAGGGGCGCAAGCCUGAUCCAGCCAUACCGCGUGGGUGAAGAAGGCCUUCGGGUUGUAAAGCCAUUUUGUUGGGAAAGAAAAGCAGCAGGUUAAUACCCCGCUGUUCUGACGGUACCCAAAGAAUAAGCACCGGCUAACUUCGUG
This 492-nucleotide ribosomal RNA is filed under the name uncultured bacterium. RNAcentral's name for it is "partial 16S ribosomal RNA". It matches the Rfam family "Bacterial small subunit ribosomal RNA", at positions 29 to 507 of the family's 1533-position model. The record is from RNAcentral.